AAUUUUUUUGUGGGGAUGAUUGAAAAUGAUGAGCCUAGAAUUAUGUCCUCUCAAACUGAAGCCAUCUUGAAACACCUGAGCGUCACUCUUUCCUUUUCCUUCUGAGGCAUUUUCUCUGUGUUCAGAUGCUGUAAUGGGUUUUUCUUUUCAUGUUUAUCAAUUGCUCUUAUGGUUUGAUUACAUCCAUAAUACUUCUAAUCCAGAGGGGAAGCAGAAGUGACGACAAUGGCGAUGAUGAGCAGCAGCACAUGGAGAUUAACAAGAGGCCAAGAAAUCUUCUCUGUGUUCCCAUCAUUUGCCUUCCCUUUGCUCUCCACCUCCAGGAGGAGGAUUGAAAGAGUGGGGGCAUGCAAAACGAACAUGUCAGAGCGCAAAACAAAGAAGGCAAAUUUGAGAGCUGCGAAAAGGGAAAGGAUUCUGCUGCCAAUUUGCGAUGAUGGCUAUCGUAUUAGUGAAUUUCUUAGUCACCCCUUUGGAAUUCAAGCUAUGUUAAACACUAAGACCCUGCAAAGUUUUGAAUCCUUAGAUGCCAACACAUACAGGUGCUAUUUGCCAAAGCUUCAACUGCUAAAUUUUGAAGCAGCUCCUGUGAUGGACUUGAGAGUGACCCCAACAGAAGAAGAUUGUACUGUUGAGAUGCUCUCUUGCAAGUUUGAAGGUUCAGAGCUCAUGGAGCGCCAAAAUGACCAUUUUUCAGCUUUCAUGGUGAAUCGUGUGACAUGGAACACAACUGAUUCUGAACCCUUUUUAGAGGCCGACAUGAAGUUGAAUGUCAUCCUUGAGGUUGCUAGUAUUCCACCUUUAGAUCAUUGUUGAUGCCUCGUGUAACAGUAGAUUCUGUCAUGAAAGAUUUUCACAGCACCGUUUACUUUGCUGCCAACUUCUGCUGUUGAGGGUCCUGGAAAUUUGUGAGUUAUCCUUGCUGAGUUUUCAAUUAUUAUAUAGUUUAUGACUCAGCUGUCAGUUUUUCUUUCUUAAAGUUUACUUCUUUAUGUGUUGAUCUAUGCAUGCUUGGGGCACUACUCAGGCCUGUAACUAAGCCUCCCGUUUUACCACUGGAAACAAAUCUCUUAACCUUUUGAGUGGAGUGAGUGGAUCAAGAUUAUGUGGGCAUCCAUAUCCACAUAAUCUUGUCAUUCUGUCACCUCCAUCCCUAUAUAUGUAUUAAGCUUCAUAAUAUCUUAUAAAUCAACAAAUAUUUUCACUUUCAGUAUCCCAAAUAAUCAGCUGGUAGAUUGGAUCCAGAUGUUAGAAUUUUGGAUAAGGAAAUUAAGUCAUUCUAAAAUUAUCCCAACACUAUUGAACUUUUGUCUGUCUUAGCAUGAUCUGAAAUUUCCAUAACAGAAUUUGUAAAACACUAAGAAUGCAUGUAAAUUAUUCAAACAAUUUAGAGCUUAAUGUUAUAUUUGGCCAGAGCCAUAAGAACCCCUGAUAAACGGUGGAAGUGCAAUGAAAUACAGAAUGAUGCAGGCUUUAGUGGAUAGGCUUGUAACGUUGCUUCUGCAGCAACUACUGCAAGAAUAUAACAAGUGGGAAAAUCAACAAUGGGAAAAUGUUCCAUGAAUUUCUUCCUGAAGUUUGCAUAUCCAGGAAGGAGCGUAGAAUUUUGGAGCAAAGAAGAAGGGGUAUGGCAGUAUUACAAUCCAAGUUUAGAAAGUAUAUUCAUUCAACCAACAAUUUCUGUGGUACAAGUAGGAUCCCUUAAACCAUAGGUGAACUCCUGGUUUAAAGAGCAAAACUUUUCUGUACUUGCCUCUACCUUGUUUUCCUGUGUAAAUAUGCUGUAGUGAUUGCCUUGUUAUGUGUCGAAAUGAAAUUUAACAGUUAUCUAUAAAAUUUAGUUUAAUAGUAUUCGAAUCA
This is an RNA transcript of Manihot esculenta (cassava), 1860 nucleotides long. RefSeq lists it as uncharacterized. The record is from RefSeq and is a predicted model, not a curated record. NCBI's taxonomy places the organism in Eukaryota, Viridiplantae, Streptophyta, Magnoliopsida, Malpighiales, Euphorbiaceae. The transcript has 7 exons.